AAUAAAGCUAUGAAGGAGAUAAAAAUAUCACAUUUAAAACUACAGAGAGUCAACGGUUGCUGAGAGUUGAUGUUUUAAGGAUAUGUAAUAAUCACUCCUGAGCUGUAAAAAUAAUGAGGUAAUUCAUUAAUUUGAAUUACGAACUAGGGUGGUACCACGAAUCUUUCGUCCCUAUA
RNAcentral lists this non-coding RNA (176 nucleotides) under Clostridium estertheticum. Its description in RNAcentral is "T-box sequence". It matches the Rfam family "T-box leader". Rfam says of the family: Uncharged tRNA acts as the effector for transcription antitermination of genes in the T-box leader family. T-boxes are found upstream of many aminoacyl-tRNA synthetase genes and some amino acid biosynthetic genes usually in Gram-positive bacteria. The record is from RNAcentral. Lineage: Bacteria; Bacillati; Bacillota; Clostridia; Eubacteriales; Clostridiaceae.